Small nuclear RNA from Erinaceus europaeus (western European hedgehog), 107 nucleotides. The record is from RefSeq and is a predicted model, not a curated record. Lineage: Eukaryota; Metazoa; Chordata; Mammalia; Eulipotyphla; Erinaceidae.
GUGCUCGCUUCGGCAGCACAUAUACUAAAAUUGGAACGAUACAGAGAAGAUUAGCAAAGGGGCUGCGCCAGUCUGCAUUUCUACAGGCAGUGGAGCAGAGUCCUUUU